ACAAAUACUAUCUGUAGACAGGUCUGUUAAAUCAUUCCUUUACUCAGAGACAGCAAGUCCAGCAUGGGCCUAUCGCUGGAUGAUUGACUCCAGAGACGACUUCACAGAGGAGCGCCUGGCCAAGCUGCAGGACCCAUUCUCUCUAUACCGCUGCCACACCAUCAUGAACUGCACAAGGACCUGUCCUAAGGGUCUGAAUCCAGGGAAAGCUAUUGCGGAGAUCAAGAAAAUGAUGGCAACCUAUAAGGAGAAGAAAGCUUCAGUUUAACUGUUUCCAUGCUAAACAUGAUUUAUAACCAGCUCAGAGCUGAACAUAAUUUAUAUCUAAUUUGAGUUCCUUUAAAGAUCUUGGUUUUCCAUGAAUACAGCAUGUAUAAUAAAAAUUUUAAGAAAUAAA
Molecule: small RNA, 397 nt
Filed under: Pan troglodytes (chimpanzee)
Lineage: Eukaryota; Metazoa; Chordata; Mammalia; Primates; Hominidae
Description: processed transcript
Source: RNAcentral